UACGUAGGGUGCGAGCGUUGUCCGGAAUUAUUGGGCUUAAAGAGCUCGUAGGCGGCCUGUCGCGUCGGUUGUGAAAGCCCGGGGCUUAACCCCGGGUCUGCAGUCGAUACGGGCAGGCUAGAGUUCGGUAGGGGAGAUCGGAAUUCCUGGUGUAGCGGUGAAAUGCGCAGAUAUCAGGAGGAACACCGGUGGCGAAGGCGGAUCUCUGGGCCGAUACUGACGCUGAGGAGCGAAAGCGUGGGGAGCGAACAGG
RNAcentral lists this ribosomal RNA (253 nucleotides) under uncultured bacterium. RNAcentral's name for it is "partial 16S ribosomal RNA". It matches the Rfam family "Bacterial small subunit ribosomal RNA", at positions 524 to 776 of the family's 1533-position model. The record is from RNAcentral.